Molecule: ribosomal RNA, 492 nt
Filed under: uncultured bacterium
Lineage: Bacteria
Description: partial 16S ribosomal RNA
Rfam family: Bacterial small subunit ribosomal RNA
Source: RNAcentral
AGUGAACGCUGGCGGUAGGCCUAACACAUGCAAGUCGAACGGCAGCACAGUAGGAGCUUGCUCUUACGGGUGGCGAGUGGCGGACGGGUGAGGAAUACAUCGGAAUCUACUUUUUCGUGGGGGAUAACGUAGGGAAACUUACGCUAAUACCGCAUACGACCUACGGGUGAAAGCAGGGGAUCUUCGGACCUUGCGCGAUUGAAUGAGCCGAUGUCGGAUUAGCUAGUUGGCGGGGUAAAGGCCCACCAAGGCGACGAUCCGUAGCUGGCCUGAGAGGAUGAUCAGCCACACUGGAACUGAGACACGGUCCAGACUCCUACGGGAGGCAGCAGUGGGGAAUAUUGGACAAUGGGCGCAAGCCUGAUCCAGCCAUACCGCGUGGGUGAAGAAGGCCUUCGGGUUGUAAAGCCCUUUUGUUGGGAAAGAAAAGCAGCAGGUUAAUACCCCGCUGUUCUGACGGUACCCAAAGAAUAAGCACCGGCUAACUUCGUG